Phalacrocorax carbo (great cormorant) is the source of this 1152-nucleotide non-coding RNA. Lineage: Eukaryota; Metazoa; Chordata; Aves; Suliformes; Phalacrocoracidae. The record is from RefSeq and is a predicted model, not a curated record.
CUUGCAUAGGAGCAGCCCUGCUCAGAAGGGCUGUUUCCCCGGCUGGCCUGGCUGCAUCUUCUUCCCAUCCUCUUUGAAGGAAGGCAUUUAGCAUCACCUUACCGUCUCCCAAAAACGCACUACGUGCAAUGCGAACCAGGAGAUCGCGUGCAAUUUCCUGGUCUCCCAGCAGAUCAGGCCUGGCUGUUGUUUGGACUAGUGACUAGGCGCAGCCCCAAAAGCCCCGGCAAUUUGUCUAAACCUUAUUACCCAUGUCUUUGAGAAGCACUGCCUCCCAAAGAUGCCACCUCCCUGAUGGGAAGGGUUCCAACUAAUCCAAUGUCCCGCUUGCUUUCUCAAGGGACGGACCGAGAGGCUGCGCACAAGGAGGCGUUUUUGGAAGGAAGCAGUGGCUCCCUGCCAGCCUCUGCUGAAGAAACAGAGGCGAUGCAAGCCAACGGCAUGCCAGGGCUGUCAAAGGCCGGAGGAGACCACCAUGGCAGCGUAUAUGAAUUUUUCCGCACAGACUCAGGUGUGGCUGGCGAGACAAUCCCAAGCGUUUCCAACCCCCAGAGCACCGCAAGUUUUUUCUGUCCCCAAGAUGUGCGAAGACGCUGUAUGAUAGGCACAGCAGCAGUCGUGAUUUCCGUGCCACUUGCAAUAGCGUUGUGCUAUGUCAUGAUCCGACGGCGGAGAAAUAGAAGACGGCAUGCCUCUGCAGCUUCAGAAGCCCGCCGGGAAACCAGCAGAUACCCCUCGCGCCCGCAGAGCCGGACCCGCCGGCCCAGCACCCCUGAGAGCUGGACCCAACGCCAGCGGCCGCCACUUGUGCAUGGGAAACCGGCACGCCCGCCCUCCCCACGGCCCCCCCGCCCCCCAAGCCCGAUGGUCCGGCCCCCCAGCAGGGGCUGAAGGCAGCCCCGCCAGGGGAGGGCCUGGGGGUGCGCUGACAGAGCCCCCACCAACAGCUUCGGGGAUCAGCCGUUUCUCUACAAAUAAAGAGGGACAGAGCUGGCACACAAGUCUCCAGUGGUACAAACAGCAAACCCCGCGAGGCACCAGCACCGGCUGAGCUCCGCAGCCGGGCGCAGCCGUGGAUGCCCACUGUGUCGGCAGGCAGGAGCCAGGCACGGGGCUCCUCUGGCCAGCGGCGGGGCCCCGAGGGGCUGGGGC